This 91-nucleotide non-coding RNA is filed under the name Streptomyces vietnamensis. RNAcentral's name for it is "ZTP sequence". It matches the Rfam family "ZMP/ZTP riboswitch aptamer (pfl RNA motif)". Rfam says of the family: Previously known as pfl RNA. ZMP is also known as AICAR. Lineage: Bacteria; Bacillati; Actinomycetota; Actinomycetes; Kitasatosporales; Streptomycetaceae. The record is from Rfam by way of RNAcentral.
AACACGCACGGCGACUGGCGUACGGGGAAGCGACCCCGGGGAAGCCGCGCGCGCUCCACCACACGAGGUGCCGCUCGCCUGGGCAUCACGG